Molecule: long non-coding RNA, 1605 nt
Organism: Talpa occidentalis (Iberian mole)
Lineage: Eukaryota; Metazoa; Chordata; Mammalia; Eulipotyphla; Talpidae
Exons: 4
Source: RefSeq, a predicted model, not a curated record
CCCCAUAUUUCUGGGUCAGAAUUUAUAUUAAAUGUAAAUAUUUGUACGUUGAGUAGUUUUCCUUGAAAAGGGCCUUUGCAGGCUUCUGGAUUAUUCAAAAUUUGUUUCAGAUUAAAACCAAAAGUUGCGGAAUGUGACAUUUAAAGUGUUUAAGCAGAUGACAAAGAAAUAUAAAACAAAGAUAAAGCUGGUCCGAACCAUGAUCUGCAGAGCCCCUGAGUCCCCUCCCCUAACAGAGGGACCCCUAUCAUGACACUCCCAGAGCCUCAGUCCCUGUCCUUCAGUGUCACAGAAGUGUCCCUGGAGGCACGAGUGGUCACAAAGAAAAAUGGACAUGGAAGGGCCUCCUACUCCCUAAAUCUCUCAAAUGCAUGGACACACAGACCUCUUGAAAAUGCAUAUGUAGCUCUACUGAAGAUUUUCCUUAAGCUUUGAACCUGAGCUACUUUGCUUAGUCACUACAAUGCAAAAUAACAUUCCAAUGCAAACUGCACCCACUCCAAACUCUCUUAUACUAUGGAAAUUCAGUAAAUCACCAACUGAAGGGGAGUUCUGCAAGCACUAUCUUCCCUAUUCCUUUAUUUGGUGCUCAAAAUCCAGCAGGGUCCAAGGACAUGGAACUAGCCUCCUCCCUUGCAUAAAUUCCAGGACUGUUGAUUCUAUAGGACUCCUCAAAGAAGGUUACCUCGCCCAGCUGGGAGUGGAGCACAGCCCUUCUCAUUUCCAGGGCAUUUAUGCCAAGUGUGAAUCUCCGGGAGGUGUCUAAAUUCUCUUCCAGCUAAAGUCUAUCUACUUGGACAGUCAGCACGACUGUGCCAUGGCAUUUCUGUGCCAUGAAAGGAGAGUCUUCCUCCCAUGGCCUUACUCUCUGGCUUUCCUUCUCCAGCCCCUACUGUGCCAGGACCUAAGAAGCAAAAGGAGAGAGGAGCGUGCAAGGAAAAGAAUGCAAGGAAACAAUGACGAAUGGCAUCCCCCCAAAUAUUUCUGACCAGUAAUGACAGGGUUGCUAGAUGGGAAGCAGGAUCACUGCAACCACAGCCUUCUUACUGCCUUAGAGGUUAUAAUCAAACUCUAAACGUGAAGUGUUUUGCUAGAGAACAGGCCUGUGGCCCUCCAUUAAAGAGAAGGACCCCAGAGAAAACAGCCUAGCAAAGAAACUCCUACAGAAGGAAGCUGCUUUGGAAUCUGGUCACAUUGUGAAUUUGCAAAUCAUCAUUAUCUUCUCCUCCACCCUGUUAGGAGGACUUGCCUAACCUCCAGAUGAUCAUGCAGCCUUCUAUCAGCUUCAGAGAAAGGGAGUGCAGAGCACUGUAAUUGGAGGAGAUUAAUCAUUCACUACACCAGAGGUAGGCCUCUCCUUACCUGCACACUCCAACUUCACAUGGCAGCCAAGGCCAACUACCAGCCAGGUCUGAGCAAGGGAAGCAACUGGAGAGAUGGAGGGAGACCAAAAAGAGAGAAACCUGGACUGCUCUCAAGCCAAGGACAGACUGCCAGCAGGACGUGGGGGAGUGGAGCAAUCCACAAAGUCGAAUGAGCAGUGAGCUAGGAACUCUUAGAGCUGGAAAUAACAGAUUCAGGAGUUGUCAAUAAACACUUAUUUGA